Molecule: ribosomal RNA, 460 nt
Filed under: uncultured bacterium
Lineage: Bacteria
Description: partial 16S ribosomal RNA
Rfam family: Bacterial small subunit ribosomal RNA
Source: RNAcentral
CCUACGGGGGGCAGCAGUGAGGAAUAUUGGUCAAUGGGCGCGAGCCUGAACCAGCCAAGUCGCGUGAGGGAUGAAGGUUCUAUGGAUCGUAAACCUCUUUUAUCAGGGAAUAAAGUGUGGGACGUGUCCUCUUUUGUAUGUACCUUAUGAAUAAGGAUCGGCUAACUCCGUGCCAGCAGCCGCGGUAAUACGGAGGGUCCGGGCGUUAUCCGGAUUUUUUGGGUUUAAAGGGUUCGUAGGCGGUCUUUUAAGGCAGCGGUGAAAGUCUGUGGCUCAACCAUAGAAUUGCCGUUGAAACUGGGGGGCUUGAGUAUGCUUGAGGCAGGCGGAAUGCGUGGUGUAGCGGUGAAAUGCUUAGAUAUCACGCAGAACCCCGAUUGCGAAGGCAGCCUGCCAAGCCAUGACUGACGCUGAUGCACGAAAGCGUGGGGAUCAAACAGGAUUAGAUACCCCUGUAGUC